RNAcentral lists this ribosomal RNA (369 nucleotides) under Linnemannia elongata. Its description in RNAcentral is "eukaryotic LSU rRNA". The stretch from base 1 to 107 matches the Rfam family "5.8S ribosomal RNA", at positions 49 to 154 of the family's 154-position model. The record is from RNAcentral. Lineage: Eukaryota; Fungi; Mortierellomycota; Mortierellomycetes; Mortierellales; Mortierellaceae.
CGAAAUGCGAUACGUAAUGUGAAUGUGCAGAAUUCAGUGAAUCAUCGAAUCUUUGAACGCAUAUUGCGCUCUUUGGUAUUCCGAAGAGCAUGCUUGUUUGAGUAUCAGUAAACACCUCAAAGCUUUUGGAUUUUUUAAUCGAAAAGCUUUGGACUUGAGCAAUCCCAACACCAAUCUUUUUGAGAUCGGUGGCGGGUUGCUUGAAAUGCAGGUGCAGCUGGACAUUCUCCUGAGCUAAAAGCAUAUUCAUUUAGUCCCGUCAAACGGAUUAUUACUUUUGCUGCAGCUAACAUAAAGGGAGUUUGACCGUAUUGGCUGACUGAUGCAGGAUUUCACAAGGGUCGGCAACGAUUCUUGUUAAACUCGAUC